This 501-nucleotide ribosomal RNA is filed under the name uncultured bacterium. RNAcentral's name for it is "partial 16S ribosomal RNA". It matches the Rfam family "Bacterial small subunit ribosomal RNA", at positions 899 to 1397 of the family's 1533-position model. The record is from RNAcentral.
ACUCAAAUGAAUUGACGGGGACCCGCACAAGCGGUGGAGCAUGUGGUUUAAUUCGAGGCAACGCGAAGAACCUUACCAGGCCUUGACAUGUCCAGUUUAGUUUCCAGAGAUGGAUUCUUUCACUUCGGGUGGCUGGAACACAGGUGCUGCAUGGCUGUCGUCAGCUCGUGUCGUGAGAUGUUGGGUUAAGUCCCGCAACGAGCGCAACCCUCAUUCUUAGUUGCCAUCAGUUCGGCUGGGCACUCUAAGAGAACUGCCGGGGUUAACCCGGAGGAAGGUGGGGAUGACGUCAAGUCUUCAUGGCCCUUACGGCCUGGGCUACACACGUGCUACAAUGGUGGUGACAGAGGGCUGCUAACCCGCGAGGGUAUGCCAAUCUCUAAAAACCACCUCAGUUCAGAUUGCAGGCUGCAACUCGCCUGCAUGAAGUUGGAAUCGCUAGUAAUCGCGGAUCAGAACGCCGCGGUGAAUACGUUCCCGGGUCUUGUACACACCGCCCGU